This is a long non-coding RNA of Ziziphus jujuba (common jujube), 331 nucleotides long. RefSeq lists it as uncharacterized. The transcript has 3 exons. The record is from RefSeq and is a predicted model, not a curated record. Lineage: Eukaryota; Viridiplantae; Streptophyta; Magnoliopsida; Rosales; Rhamnaceae.
CAUAUGGAAGUCCUGCCUUACCUAUUUCGUGUACGUGCCAAUCAAUUUCCUGAUAUUUUUUAUCCUAGUUUUGAGGUGCUAGAUGGAGGAUUUUGGGUAUACAUUGAGCAAUGUCAUGGAAAGUUCAUCGACAAUCCAUCUAAGUUCCAAUUCUCAUACGCAAUGCAAGAAUAUGUGCUGGGGAUUCGAAUGAAGGAGUCCAAGCCAUGGAAAUACGUAAAUCAUUUGUUGAUUCCACUAAACAAGCGCAACAUACAUUGGGUGGUAGGGCACGUGGACUUGAAAGAGCGUCGCAUGACUGUAUAUGAUUCAGAUAAGGCUGGUAACCGAU